UACGUAGGGUGCAAGCGUUGUUCGGAAUUAUUGGGCGUAAAGGGCGCGUAGGCGGUGCGGUAAGUCACCUGUGAAAUCUCCUGGCUCAACUGGGAGCUUGCAGGCGAAACUGCCGUGCUGGAGUGUGGGAGAGGUGAGUGGAAUUCCCAGUGUAGAGGUGAAAUUCGUAGAUAUUGGGAAGAACACCGGUGGCGAAGGCGGCUCACUGGCUCAUUACUGACGCUCAGGCGCGAUAGCGUGGGGAUCAAACAGG
This 253-nucleotide ribosomal RNA is filed under the name uncultured bacterium. Its description in RNAcentral is "partial 16S ribosomal RNA". It matches the Rfam family "Bacterial small subunit ribosomal RNA", at positions 524 to 776 of the family's 1533-position model. The record is from RNAcentral.